RNAcentral lists this ribosomal RNA (122 nucleotides) under Spongilla lacustris. Its description in RNAcentral is "partial 5.8S ribosomal RNA". It matches the Rfam family "5.8S ribosomal RNA", at positions 38 to 154 of the family's 154-position model. From Rfam's summary of the family: 5.8S ribosomal RNA (5.8S rRNA) is a component of the large subunit of the eukaryotic ribosome. It is transcribed by RNA polymerase I as part of the 45S precursor that also contains 18S and 28S rRNA. Lineage: Eukaryota; Metazoa; Porifera; Demospongiae; Spongillida; Spongillidae. The record is from RNAcentral.
CGAUGAACGCAGCAAACUGCGAUACGUAGUGUGAAUUGCAGAAUUCCGUGAAUCAUCGAGUCUUUGAACGCAAAUUGCGCCCUCGGUUUGAAGCCGGGGGCACGUCUGUCUGAGCGUCCGUU